This 486-nucleotide ribosomal RNA is filed under the name uncultured bacterium. Its description in RNAcentral is "partial 16S ribosomal RNA". It matches the Rfam family "Bacterial small subunit ribosomal RNA", at positions 28 to 507 of the family's 1533-position model. The record is from RNAcentral.
GACGAACGCUGGCGGCGUGCUUAACACAUGCAAGUCGAACGCUGAAGACCUGGCUUUUGUUGGGUUGGAUGAGUGGCGAACGGGUGAGUAACACGUGAGUAACCUGCCCUCUUCUUUGGGAUAACGCCCGGAAACGGGUGCUAAUACUGGAUAUUCACUGAUCUUCGCAUGGGGGUUGGUGGAAAGGUUUGUUCUGGUGGGGGAUGGGCUCGCGGCCUAUCAGCUUGUUGGUGGGGUGAUGGCCUACCAAGGCUUUGACGGGUAGCCGGCCUGAGAGGGUGACCGGUCACAUUGGGACUGAGAUACGGCCCAGACUCCUACGGGAGGCAGCAGUGGGGAAUAUUGCACAAUGGGCGAAAGCCUGAUGCAGCGACGCCGCGUGAGGGAGGGAGGCCUUCGGGUUGUAAACCUCUUUCGCUCAUGGUCAAGCCGCAACUGUGGGUUGUGGUGAGGGUAGUGGGUAAAGAAGCGCCGGCUAACUACGUG